This 509-nucleotide ribosomal RNA is filed under the name uncultured Methanogenium sp. RNAcentral describes it as "bacterial SSU rRNA". It matches the Rfam family "Archaeal small subunit ribosomal RNA", at positions 365 to 879 of the family's 1478-position model. Lineage: Archaea; Methanobacteriati; Methanobacteriota; Methanomicrobia; Methanomicrobiales; Methanomicrobiaceae. The record is from RNAcentral.
CUGUGAUAGGGACCCCGAGUGCCCGUAUACGCGGGCUGUCCAGGUGUUUAAAACGCAUCUGAAGAAAGGGCCGGGCAAGACCGGUGCCAGCCGCCGCGGUAAUACCGGCGGCUCGAGUGGUGGCCACUAUUAUUGGGCUUAAAGCGUCCGUAGCUGGACCCUUAAGUCUCUUGGGAAAUCCGCCGGCUUAACCGACGGGCGUCUAAGAGAUACUGGGGGUCUAGGGACCGGGAGAGGUGAGAGGUACUCCGGGGGUAGGAGUGAAAUCCUGUAAUCCCCGGGGGACCACCGAUGGCGAAGGCAUCUCACCAGAACGGCUCCGACAGUGAGGGACGAAAGCUGGGGGAGCGAACCGGAUUAGAUACCCGGGUAGUCCCAGCCGUAAACUAUGCGCGUUAGGUGUACUGGUGACCACGAGUCACUGGGGUGCCGAAGGGAAACCGUGAAACGUGCCGCCUGGGAAGUACGGUCGCAAGGCUGAAACUUAAAGGAAUUGGCGGGGGGAGCAC